GAUGAACGCUGGCGGCGUGCCUAAUACAUGCAAGUCGAGCGAACGGACGAGAAGCUUGCUUCUCUGAUGUUAGCGGCGGACGGGUGAGUAACACGUGGAUAACCUACCUAUAAGACUGGGAUAACUUCGGGAAACCGGAGCUAAUACCGGAUAAUAUUUUGAACCGCAUGGUUCAAAAGUGAAAGACGGUCUUGCUGUCACUUAUAGAUGGAUCCGCGCUGCAUUAGCUAGUUGGUAAGGUAACGGCUUACCAAGGCAACGAUGCAUAGCCGACCUGAGAGGGUGAUCGGCCACACUGGAACUGAGACACGGUCCAGACUCCUACGGGAGGCAGCAGUAGGGAAUCUUCCGCAAUGGGCGAAAGCCUGACGGAGCAACGCCGCGUGAGUGAUGAAGGUCCUCGGAUCGUAAAACUCUGUUAUUAGGGAGGAACAUAUGUGUAAGUAACUGUGCACAUCUUGACGGUACCUAAUCAGAAAGCCACGGCUAACUACGUG
RNAcentral lists this ribosomal RNA (497 nucleotides) under uncultured bacterium. RNAcentral's name for it is "partial 16S ribosomal RNA". It matches the Rfam family "Bacterial small subunit ribosomal RNA", at positions 28 to 507 of the family's 1533-position model. The record is from RNAcentral.